CCUGCCCCUAGAGGCAUUGCAGGUAUGGCUGCUGUGUCCACAUGUGCAUCAGUAGGUGGCAGAAAGGAGAGACGUUAUGUAUAUGCUCAGUGUUCUGACCUAUGAACAUCUGAAUGAUUAAUAGCCUAACUCU
Small nucleolar RNA from Acomys russatus (golden spiny mouse), 133 nucleotides. RefSeq annotates it as small nucleolar RNA SNORA17. The record is from RefSeq and is a predicted model, not a curated record. Lineage: Eukaryota; Metazoa; Chordata; Mammalia; Rodentia; Muridae. The transcript has a single exon.